This 780-nucleotide long non-coding RNA is filed under the name Gossypium barbadense (sea-island cotton). RNAcentral's name for it is "long non-coding RNA (GBAR_LNC005445)". The record is from RNAcentral. Lineage: Eukaryota; Viridiplantae; Streptophyta; Magnoliopsida; Malvales; Malvaceae.
CGAUAUCUUCGUGUAGAGAUUAUGUCCGGGUAAGACUUCGUAAUAAGAAUUGCUUAUAAAUAUAUUCAAUGCGAAAGGUUAAACAGGUAUGUACUCCAAGUUUAUAUGUGAGCUUGAUUUGCACUAAAUCAUAAGGUAGUUAUGUGAUGCAUACGAGAGCAAUCUAUGAGACUAUUCCUAUGAUUAUGUGACAUCGGAUCAGUGUGAGAGGUGAUGUGAAAUCAUACGAUAUAUCUAUGUCACAUGAGCUCACUUUUAUGUGAAAGUUUAUUUGCCUAUUGUAUAUGAUGAGAUGUGCAUAUUCGGUAAAGGGAUGGUAUGCCCGAAGGAAGAGUGAAAUAAAAAUACGAACAACUAUGUUAUAAUUUGAUUGUUAUCUGUUGACACUGCUUAAAACUUACUAAGCAUUGUAAUGCUUACUCCGUUUACUCUGUUUCCUCUGUUUUAUAGAUCUCAUUGCGAAGCUACAGGCUCGGGGAUCGUCAGCAACUAGUCACACUAUCACUAUCCACUGUUUGGUACUGCUAUGUUUUGGAUUAUCUUAUGGCAUUUAUAAAAUAGACUAGUGGCGGAAGAAUAUUUUGGUUAAUGUAUAUAGCCAUGCGAAAAUGGCUUAUAUAUGUUUGAGCAUAAUGUUAUAAUCAUUUGGUAUGGAAUGGUUAAUAACUAUCAUAAUUUGUGCUAUUUAUGCUAAAAGGGCUAGUUGAAUCAUGGAAACUAUGAAAUAGGUAAAGUCUACCUUAAAGGCAGAUGCUGGCAGCAGCAGUGAUGUAGAUUUGG